ACGACUCGUUUCCAUUACUGUUUCGCGAAUUAUCCGGCGACGAAGGUCCAAAUGUACGCGAGGGAGAAGGCGGAACGAAAUAAAACGCGGCGAACUAUUUUUAAUAACUAAGCGGACUGUACUUUAUUUUUUCUUUUGUUUGCGUAAAGACACGUUUAUAACUGCUCACUCUGACGGUUUCUUCUUGAAUAGAAUCUUCUCGUUGCAGUGCACGAAACAGGAAGUUAAGGUUGGCAGCGUGUGGUGACGACAGCUUGGCAAUAGGUUGCGUGAGGGAUAGGACUGCGCAUAGGGUUGAAAUGCACGGUAACAGCCUCAAUCAACUGAAAUUGUAGAAAGAUGUAGUGUUUGGUCCGUCAAACCAUACGACGGGCCAAAGCUAAAUCAGCGAAUAAGCGAUAGAUUGGAACCCUUACAUGACAUCAGACCCAGAGGCUCAUGGCGCUUAACUUUUAGGAUGAAAUACAAUAAGUCGAUCAAAAUCUGACAUUCCACUUUCCGGGUUCUACUUACGAUUUACACAGGAGGGACAGAAGAUAGACUUUAUUUGCCGUUUGGAGUUAUUCUGCUCAGAAAAUCAGGAGUUUCACCGUAUCUGCAGGUUUUACUCACUGGUAUCUCAAUUGUCCUACACUUUUUUCUGCUGCUGGUAAUAAAUAAUUCCGAGUUCAAAUACACUUAAUAACGAUUUUUGCCUUCCAAUAAUUCGAUAAUAUUUUUUCCAAUUAGCUGCGAUGGCGAAGUUUGUUUAUUUUCUGUUCGCCUCUUUACUCCCUACACUGUCAAUACCACCAUUUCACGCGACUCACGCAAAAGAAUAACAAUCAUUAUCAACAGGCUGUCAAAUUGCACUGUUGCGUCGCGUCGCAUCGCACGUCGCGUUUACUCUGGCUUGUCCCUUACACUACUACUGCUAAGCGCAAACUGUCAUGUUGCCCGUUAUGCUGCAACCAGGGUUGUUAAUGCGGCGUCUUAACAAGUAUGAUACAGAGCGUUUUUCUCGUCACUUCUCUAAGCUUCAACUCGUUGCGUCUCUUCUAUUCUCGUUCACUAUGGCAUCGGCCUCUGACUGACCAGUCGGUCGAAGCACGAGAAAUGCUGGGCGAGCUCAUGGUUCAUUCUUCGCCGCCACACACCGUCUUCUUGCACACCGCCAAAGAUGGUCAUAAGCACCCGUUUCUCGAAUACUCCGAGUGCUUGCAAGUCCUCCUCGAGCAUUGUCCAUGUUUCAUGUCCGUAGAGGACAACCGGUCUUAUUAACGUCUUGUACAUGACACAUUUGGUGCGGUGGCGAAUCUUUUUUGACCGCAGUUUCUUCUGGAGCCCGUAGUAGGCCCAACUUCCACAGAUGAUGCGCCUUCGUAUUUCACGACUGACAUUGUUAUCAGCCGUUAGCAAGGAUCCGAGGUAGACGAAUUCCUCGACCACCUCGAAGAUAUCCCCGUCUAUCGUAACACUGCUUCCCAGGCGGGCCCUGUC
Long non-coding RNA from Armigeres subalbatus, 1479 nucleotides. RefSeq lists it as uncharacterized. The transcript has 3 exons. Lineage: Eukaryota; Metazoa; Arthropoda; Insecta; Diptera; Culicidae. The record is from RefSeq and is a predicted model, not a curated record.